AAGGUCGUAACAAGGUUUCCGUAGGUGAACCUGCGGAAGGAUCAUUACAAAGUAAAUGCUGGUAGGAAGUGGGGUUCUUGAUCUGUAAGUAGUAGAGCGAACAGUCCGGCUGCCUCCCGAAACUGUCUUACAUGUCCCUCACAGCCCUGAAGGGCCGAAAUUUACAACCCUUGAUUAUCUACACUUGUCGCUUUGGGGCUGCUCAAGUGCCCCAAGAGGGCCCGAACUCUCUUGCAUUUAAGUGACGUCUGAGUACUAUAUAAUAUUUAAAA
Molecule: unclassified non-coding RNA, 272 nt
Filed under: plant metagenome
Description: partial contains small subunit ribosomal RNA and internal transcribed spacer 1
Rfam family: Eukaryotic small subunit ribosomal RNA (bases 1-47)
Source: RNAcentral